CUCUUAUCCCGAGCUGGUGGAGGGACAGGCCCAAUGAAACCCAGCAACCUGCUUUAUUUUUAAAAUUCAUUCAUGAAUUUUUGCGAGCAAAGGUGCUAACCUGAUGCAAGGCGAAAGCCCUUGAUCGAUAAGAG
RNAcentral lists this non-coding RNA (134 nucleotides) under Bacillus sp. (in: firmicutes). RNAcentral describes it as "Bacillus sp. SAM-I sequence". It matches the Rfam family "SAM riboswitch aptamer (S box leader)". Rfam says of the family: The SAM riboswitch is found upstream of a number of genes which code for proteins involved in methionine or cysteine biosynthesis in Gram-positive bacteria. The SAM riboswitch acts at the level of transcription termination control. The record is from RNAcentral. Lineage: Bacteria; Bacillati; Bacillota; Bacilli; Caryophanales; Bacillaceae.